This 328-nucleotide ribosomal RNA is filed under the name uncultured eukaryote. RNAcentral's name for it is "partial 18S ribosomal RNA". It matches the Rfam family "Eukaryotic small subunit ribosomal RNA", at positions 1470 to 1796 of the family's 1831-position model. The record is from RNAcentral.
CCCUUAGAUGUUCUGGGCCGCACGCGCGCUACACUGUUCGACGCAGCGAGUCUUAACCUUGACCGAAAGGUUUGGGUAAUCUUCAGCAAAGUCGAACGUGAUGGGGAUCGAUCAUUGCAAUUAUUGAUCGUGAACGAGGAAUUCCUAGUAAGUGCAAGUCAUCAGCUUGCGCUGAUUACGUCCCUGCCCUUUGUACACACCGCCCGUCGCUACUACUGAUUGGAUGUUUAAGCGAGGUUCUCGAACUGCUAGCGACUUAGCUUCGGUGAGGUCGCAGUGUGGGAAGUGAACCGAGCUUUGGUGUCUAGAGGAAGUAAAAGUCGUAACA